GAUGAACGCUGGCGGCGUGCUUAACACAUGCAAGUCGAACGGAAAGGCUCCUGCUUGCAGGGGUACUCGAGUGGCGAACGGGUGAGUAACACGUGGGUGAUCUGCCCUGCACUUCGGGAUAAGCCUGGGAAACUGGGUCUAAUACCGGAUAGGACGAUGGUUUGGAUGCCAUUGUGGAAAGUUUUUUCGGUGUGGGAUGAGCUCGCGGCCUAUCAGCUUGUUGGUGGGGUAAUGGCCUACCAAGGCGUCGACGGGUAGCCGGCCUGAGAGGGUGUACGGCCACAUUGGGACUGAGAUACGGCCCAGACUCCUACGGGAGGCAGCAGUGGGGAAUAUUGCACAAUGGGCGCAAGCCUGAUGCAGCGACGCCGCGUGGGGGAUGACGGCCUUCGGGUUGUAAACUCCUUUCACUAGGGACGAAGCGCAAGUGACGGUACCUGGAGAAGAAGCACCGGCUAACUACGUG
Molecule: ribosomal RNA, 466 nt
Filed under: uncultured bacterium
Lineage: Bacteria
Description: partial 16S ribosomal RNA
Rfam family: Bacterial small subunit ribosomal RNA
Source: RNAcentral